GUAUUGAUGAAGAGUCCCAAAAUGGGACGAAACAACUGGCAGUCCAGUAC
RNAcentral lists this non-coding RNA (50 nucleotides) under Trichobilharzia regenti. Lineage: Eukaryota; Metazoa; Platyhelminthes; Trematoda; Strigeidida; Schistosomatidae. The record is from RNAcentral.